This 1279-nucleotide long non-coding RNA is filed under the name Sorghum bicolor (sorghum). RNAcentral's name for it is "long non-coding RNA (SBIC_LNC000727)". The record is from RNAcentral. Lineage: Eukaryota; Viridiplantae; Streptophyta; Magnoliopsida; Poales; Poaceae.
UCAAAUUUGCAGGAGCUGCAGCAGCAUGAAAAGUUCCUUCAUCUAGCAUUGAAAUCGCUCGAGACCUGUAAUCCAAGCUUCUGUUCAUCCAGGUGAGUCCCGUCGCCAUCACCCUUUGGUUCAAGCCUCUUAAGCCCUUGUGUUUUUUGUGAGAUGCAGACAGUUUCUGUCAAGGGGCUAAGGUCUGAUCGUAUGCCUGAUCUUAAUCCGCAUUUUCUUUUCUUGUCAAUCUGCGAUGAUGAGUAAAUAGUUCUACGGUGCUUGCUUAUGAUAGCUGAUAACUGAUAUCUCCACAAAGUAUCAUGGACCUAGCAAACCCAUGGAAGCAUACUGAAUAAAAUCCAUGUUUUGAUUGUGGUAAAUUGAAGUCGCAUAUUCACACUGUUAUUUCAAAAAAUAAGAGUAGUGUUUGAAAAUUUAACAAUGGACAUAUUCUUUUGCUAAUAUUGGAAACUUACUAUAAUCAUCUAAAGAUACUUCUCCUGCUGAUACUACGCAUAAAUUAUGUACAAAGAGUGAUAUUCCUUUUAGCACACAUGGUCAGUCCUAACUAUGAUGAAAAGCUGAUCUCUAGGGCCAUAGCUCUAGAUGAAUAGAAAUAGGUUUCUUAUUCUGUAGUUAGCACUUUUGUCUAUUUUAUUUAUAUUAUAUAAAUAAUAACCAAUAGUAUAUGGAUGUAGUUUGUCUUGGAUGGUACUACUAUGCACACUAUGCAGCUAAGAAGUAAGCCUUUUGCUUUAUUAAUUAGUCAAUUUUUUGAUAACCUGUAAUUUUUCAAAUGUGUUACCUUCACUGAUAAACCUAUAACUUAUUUGUCCUCAAAUCUGCAGGAGCUGCAGCAGCAUAAAAAGUUCCUUCAUCCAGCAUUGAAAUCGCUCGAGACCUAUAAUCCAAGCUUCUGUUCAUCUAGGUGAGUCCCGUCGCCAUCACCCUUUGGUUCAAGCCUCUUAAGCCCUUGUGUUUUUGUCAGAUGCAGCCAUGGACAGUUUCUGUCAAGGGGCUAAGGUCUGAUCGCAUGCCUGAUCUGUACAACACAUUAAUCUUAAUCCGCAUUUUCUUUUCUUGUCAAUCUGCGAAGAUGAGUAAAUAGAAUCUUUUUGUAUGAAAAGAAGGAAUACCCUUGAUUUAAAUUGUUUAUUUAUUGGACCCUUACUCUUUGCUGCUGCAAGUAUACCUUUUAUUUUAAGCUACAUUUAUUCAUGCAGGUGCUUGCUUAUUAAAUAGAUUUUUUUGUAUGAAAAGAAGCAAUGCCUUUGAUUUAAAUUGUUUAUUUAUUGGA